UACGUAGGGUGCAAGCGUUGUCCGGAAUUAUUGGGCGUAAAGAGCUCGUAGGCGGUCUGUCGCGUCGAAUGUGAAAACCCGGGGCUCAACCCCGGGCCUGCAUUCGAUACGGGCAGACUAGAGUUCGGUAGGGGAGUCUGGAAUUCCUGGUGUAGCGGUGAAAUGCGCAGAUAUCAGGAAGAACACCGGUGGCGCAAGCGGAUUGCUGGGCCAUAACUGACACUGAGGAACGAAAGCUAGGGGAGCGAAUGGG
This 253-nucleotide ribosomal RNA is filed under the name uncultured bacterium. Its description in RNAcentral is "partial 16S ribosomal RNA". It matches the Rfam family "Bacterial small subunit ribosomal RNA", at positions 524 to 776 of the family's 1533-position model. The record is from RNAcentral.